UACGAAGGGGGCUAGCGUUGCUCGGAAUCACUGGGCGUAAAGGGUGCGUAGGCGGGUUUUUAAGUCAGGGGUGAAAUCCUGGAGCUCAACUCCAGAACUGCCUUUGAUACUGAGGGUCUUGAGUAUGACAGAGGUGAGUGGAACUGCGAGUGUAGAGGUGAAAUUCGUAGAUAUUCGCAAGAACACCAGUGGCGAAGGCGGCUCACUGGGUCAUUACUGACGCUGAGGCACGAAAGCGUGGGGAGCAAACAGG
RNAcentral lists this ribosomal RNA (253 nucleotides) under uncultured bacterium. RNAcentral's name for it is "partial 16S ribosomal RNA". It matches the Rfam family "Bacterial small subunit ribosomal RNA", at positions 524 to 776 of the family's 1533-position model. The record is from RNAcentral.